UACGGGGGGGGCAAGCGUUGUUCGGAAUUACUGGGCGUAAAGGGCUCGUAGGCGGCCAACUAAGUCGGAUGUGAAAUCCCCAGGCUUAACCUGGGAACUGCAUCCGAUACUGGAUGGCUUGAAUCCGGGAGAGGGAUGCAGAAUUCCAGGUGUAGCGGUGAAAUGCGUAGAUAUCUGGAGGAACACCGGUGGCGAAGGCGGCAUCCUGGACCGGUAUUGACGCUGAGGCGCGAAAGCUAGGGGAGCAAACAGG
Molecule: ribosomal RNA, 253 nt
Filed under: uncultured bacterium
Lineage: Bacteria
Description: partial 16S ribosomal RNA
Rfam family: Bacterial small subunit ribosomal RNA
Source: RNAcentral